GAAACACCUCUUCAAAACAAAUUUGAAAGAAAAAGUCUAUAAAACCUAAAUCUAACCUAAUCUUCAAUCUCAUACCUUAGUCGCUCUCACCUCUCGCUCAUAGUCUCACGCUCAAAUGGAUAAACGACAUCGUGUAAUCGUGCAUCCUUGGCUCCUCCUUGCCUCCCUCUUCGUUCAUCACCUCCGCUAUACCUCCUCAUAUCAUCUUCGCCCUUCACUUUAGACUUUCUCCGCCUCCAAGCUUCAGAAUUUCACCAUCUGAAGUGAAGAACUUCGGCCAACACCGAAGAACUCAACAACAUUAGGCGAUUUCUUAUGAUUUCAGGUAAACAUACAUAAUUAGAUACACAUUUACUUUAAGUUUUAGUACAUAUUUAAUUUUCUUUUUGUGCUUUGAUUCUUAUAAGUACAAGAAGCAUAUGUUUCUUUUUGUAAUUUAACAAUCUUGUAAUUGUUUAUACUUCACAUAAACACUGCAAAUUUGUAUUUGUUUAUAUUUAAGUCAUUAGCAAACUAACAAUGGUGUAUAAAGUUUACUAUAUAAUGAGCUUACGAGAGGUUAUAAAUGUGUUUAAGUAUCUAAUUCUAUUUUUAUACCUGAUUAUUUCACAUUAUAGUUGUCUAUGUGUGUAAUUGUGUAUGUUUUUAACAAUAUGGCUCUAAUUAUAGUAUAUGUUUGUUGUUUUAGAAUGGCUACAAAUGAAGGUGUAAUAGAUGUGGACGAUCAAAAUGAUGAAGUUGAAGUCCCUGGAAGAAAAUAAGCCAAAGUUGAAGUCACUUGUUUGGCAACAUUUUCCAUAUAAGAAAUGUGCUAAAAAGUCAAAAUGCAAACAUUUUAAAAUGGUUUUAGCAUGUGGAACUAGAGUUAAUGGUACCUCUGAGUUAGUGAGUCAUCUAAAAAAUACUUGUGUAAGAUCCCCCUUUACAAAAAGAGAAAAAAUGAUUCAAAAAAUCAAUCAAUCUUAAACUUCAAGCCAAAGAGACAGAAGGGGGUGAGUCUUUAAUGAGAAGAUGAUGGGUUUAAAAAUUGGUAAGGUUUUCUUUAUAUGUUUGAGUUCAUAUUUCAAAUAUACUUUUAUAUAUAUAUAUAUAUAUAUAUAUAUNNNNNNNNNNNNNNNNNNNNNNNNNNNNNNUAGGAAACACUAGUGGAAAUGAUGGAUUUUUGGGUAAGUUGUGGAUUUUGGCUAGUGAUGUCUAUUGUUUGAUCGAUAAUUGGAAAGUGAAAAACUGAAAAAACUUUAUAUUUGUUUUUAUUUAAUCUGUUGCAAGUUUAUGGAUUUUAGGCCAAUCUAGUGGCUAAUGUUGUAUGCUUGUUUAAACUUGUAAUUUCCUACUUUGACUUGUUGCAAUUUAUGUCAUUUAAAUGGCUAUUGGCCUACUGCAUAUGAUAUUAUUGGCUCUUAAGAUGAUAAAUGAAUAUGGUUAUUUACUUAUUUCAAACAGUUGAAUUUUGCUAGUUUUGGGCAAUUUUAGUAAUUUAUGGUUUAAAACCGAAAUCGCACCAUUACAAACCGCAACCGCAAAAACCAUACCGCAAUAAACUGCACUUUGCAGUUUUACACAAAUAAAACUGCAUCAGUACCAUACUGCACCAUGCUCACCCCUACUUUUUUUAAGUAGUUUUAUAAUUGUAUAAAUUUUAUUUGGUUCUAUAUUGAUCUCUCGUCAGACUAUGUGNUUAAAGUAUAUAUAUAAAUAUAUAUUUGUUUAUUUAUUUACAAUUGGAGAAAUGAAUUAGAGUGGAAAUCUGGAAAAAAAUGGGACAGUGGGGGAAAACGAAACACCUCUUCAAAACAAAUUUGAAAGAAAAAGUCUAUAAAACCUAAAUCUAACCUAAUCUUCAAUCUCAUACCUUAGUCGCUCUCACCUCUCGCUCAUAGUCUCACGCUCAAAUGGAUAAACGACAUCGUGUAAUCGUGCAUCCUUGGCUCCUCCUUGCCUCCCUCUUCGUUCAUCACCUCCGCUAUACCUCCUCAUAUCAUCUUCGCCCUUCACUUUAGACUUUCUCCGCCUCCAAGCUUCAGAAUUUCACCAUCUGAAGUGAAGAACUUCGGCCAACACCGAAGAACUCAACAACAUUAGGCGAUUUCUUAUGAUUUCAGGUAAACAUACAUAAUUAGAUACACAUUUACUUUAAGUUUUAGUACAUAUUUAAUUUUCUUUUUGUGCUUUGAUUCUUAUAAGUACAAGAAGCAUAUGUUUCUUUUUGUAAUUUAACAAUCUUGUAAUUGUUUAUACUUCACAUAAACACUGCAAAUUUGUAUUUGUUUAUAUUUAAGUCAUUAGCAAACUAACAAUGGUGUAUAAAGUUUACUAUAUAAUGAGCUUACGAGAGGUUAUAAAUGUGUUUAAGUAUCUAAUUCUAUUUUUAUACCUGAUUAUUUCACAUUAUAGUUGUCUAUGUGUGUAAUUGUGUAUGUUUUUAACAAUAUGGCUCUAAUUAUAGUAUAUGUUUGUUGUUUUAGAAUGGCUACAAAUGAAGGUGUAAUAGAUGUGGACGAUCAAAAUGAUGAAGUUGAAGUCCCUGGAAGAAAAUAAGCCAAAGUUGAAGUCACUUGUUUGGCAACAUUUUCCAUAUAAGAAAUGUGCUAAAAAGUCAAAAUGCAAACAUUUUAAAAUGGUUUUAGCAUGUGGAACUAGAGUUAAUGGUACCUCUGAGUUAGUGAGUCAUCUAAAAAAUACUUGUGUAAGAUCCCCCUUUACAAAAAGAGAAAAAAUGAUUCAAAAAAUCAAUCAAUCUUAAACUUCAAGCCAAAGAGACAGAAGGGGGUGAGUCUUUAAUGAGAAGAUGAUGGGUUUAAAAAUUGGUAAGGUUUUCUUUAUAUGUUUGAGUUCAUAUUUCAAAUAUACUUUUAUAUAUAUAUAUAUAUAUAUAUAUAUAUAUAUAUAUAU
Molecule: long non-coding RNA, 2892 nt
Filed under: Lactuca sativa (garden lettuce)
Lineage: Eukaryota; Viridiplantae; Streptophyta; Magnoliopsida; Asterales; Asteraceae
Description: long non-coding RNA (LSAT_LNC004706)
Source: RNAcentral